This 84-nucleotide transfer RNA is filed under the name Phycisphaerae bacterium. RNAcentral describes it as "tRNA-Leu". It matches the Rfam family "tRNA". From Rfam's summary of the family: Transfer RNA (tRNA) molecules are approximately 80 nucleotides in length. The record is from RNAcentral. Lineage: Bacteria; Pseudomonadati; Planctomycetota; Phycisphaerae.
GCGGGCGUGGCGGAACUGGCAGACGCGCGGGACUUAGGAUCCCGUGGCCGAAAGGCUGUGCAGGUUCGAUUCCUGUCGCCCGCA